GACGAACGCUGGCGGCGUGCUUAACACAUGCAAGUCGAACGGAAAGGCCCUGCUUGCAGGGUACUCGAGUGGCGAACGGGUGAGUAACACGUGGGUGAUCUGCCCUGCACUUCGGGAUAAGCCUGGGAAACUGGGUCUAAUACCGGAUAGGAGCCAUUUUUAUUGUGAUGGUUGGAAAGUUUUUUCGGUGUAGGAUGAGCUCGCGGCCUAUCAGCUUGUUGGUGGGGUAAUGGCCUACCAAGGCGGCGACGGGUAGCCGGCCUGAGAGGGUGGACGGCCACAUUGGGACUGAGAUACGGCCCAGACUCCUACGGGAGGCAGCAGUGGGGAAUAUUGCACAAUGGGGGCAAGCCUGAUGCAGCGAAGCCGCGUGGGGGAUGACGGCCUUCGGGUUGUAAACUCCUUUCGCUAGGGACGAAGCUUUUUGUGACGGUACCUAGAUAAGAAGCACCGGCUAACUACGUG
RNAcentral lists this ribosomal RNA (465 nucleotides) under uncultured bacterium. RNAcentral describes it as "partial 16S ribosomal RNA". It matches the Rfam family "Bacterial small subunit ribosomal RNA", at positions 28 to 507 of the family's 1533-position model. The record is from RNAcentral.